RNAcentral lists this ribosomal RNA (729 nucleotides) under uncultured bacterium. RNAcentral's name for it is "bacterial SSU rRNA". It matches the Rfam family "Bacterial small subunit ribosomal RNA", at positions 771 to 1501 of the family's 1533-position model. The record is from RNAcentral.
AACAGGAUUAGAUACCCUGGUAGUCCACGCCGUAAACGAUGUCGACUUGGAGGUUGUUCCCUUGAGGAGUGGCUUCCGGAGCUAACGCGUUAAGUCGACCGCCUGGGGAGUACGGCCGCAAGGUUAAAACUCAAAUGAAUUGACGGGGGCCCGCACAAGCGGUGGAGCAUGUGGUUUAAUUCGAUGCAACGCGAAGAACCUUACCUACUCUUGACAUCCAGCGAACUUAGCAGAGAUGCUUUGGUGCCUUCGGGAACGCUGAGACAGGUGCUGCAUGGCUGUCGUCAGCUCGUGUUGUGAAAUGUUGGGUUAAGUCCCGCAACGAGCGCAACCCUUAUCCUUUGUUGCCAGCGAUUCGGUCGGGAACUCAAAGGAGACUGCCGGUGAUAAACCGGAGGAAGGUGGGAUGACGUCAAGUCAUCAUGGCCCUUACGAGUAGGGCUACACACGUGCUACAAUGGCGCAUACAAAGAGAAGCGACCUCGCGAGAGCAAGCGGACCUCACAAAGUGCGUCGUAGUCCGGAUCGGAGUCUGCAACUCGACUCCGUGAAGUCGGAAUCGCUAGUAAUCGUGGAUCAGAAUGCCACGGUGAAUACGUUCCCGGGCCUUGUACACACCGCCCGUCACACCAUGGGAGUGGGUUGCAAAAGAAGUAGGUAGCUUAACCUUCGGGAGGGCGCUUACCACUUUGUGAUUCAUGACUGGGGUGAAGUCGUAACAAGGUAACC